Molecule: long non-coding RNA, 205 nt
Organism: Sapajus apella (tufted capuchin)
Lineage: Eukaryota; Metazoa; Chordata; Mammalia; Primates; Cebidae
Exons: 3
Source: RefSeq, a predicted model, not a curated record
CGCACUCCAGCCUGGGUGACAGAGUGAGACUCCGUCUCAAAAAGAAAGAAACAAACAAAAAAUACAGAUUUCUGGUCCUAUUCAUUUAAGUCAGUCCCCUUUGUUUAAUGUAAACAAUAAAAACAUUAAAGUCUAAGAAAUAAUAGAGAUACCAAAAAGAAGAUAUUGUGGGCCGGGCGCGGUGGCUCAAGCCUGUAAUCCCAGC